Molecule: ribosomal RNA, 391 nt
Filed under: uncultured bacterium
Lineage: Bacteria
Description: bacterial SSU rRNA
Rfam family: Bacterial small subunit ribosomal RNA
Source: RNAcentral
GUGCCAGCCGCCGCGGUAAUACGGAGGGUGCAAGCGUUAUCCGGAUUCACUGGGUUUAAAGGGUGCGUAGGCGGGCAGGUAAGUCAGUGGUGAAAUCUCCGAGCUUAACUUGGAAACUGCCAUUGAUACUAUCUGUCUUGAAUACUGUGGAGGUAAGCGGAAUAUGUCAUGUAGCGGUGAAAUGCUUAGAUAUGACAUAGAACACCUAUUGCGAAGGCAGCUUGCUACACAGAAAUUGACGCUGAGGCACGAAAGCGUGGGGAUCAAACAGGAUUAGAUACCCUGGUAGUCCACGCCCUAAACGAUGGAUACUCGACAUCAGCGAUACACUGUUGGUGUCUGAGCGAAAGCAUUAAGUAUCCCACCUGGGAAGUACGACCGCAAGGUUGAA